UCACAGCAAUGCAGCUCAGGACCAGCGCUAGGGGUUUUAGCGCCCUAGGCACACAGCAAUUUCACCACCCCGCGCCCUGGUCCCGCAGCUCCGGUGG
Chelonoidis abingdonii (Abingdon island giant tortoise) is the source of this 97-nucleotide non-coding RNA. The record is from RefSeq and is a predicted model, not a curated record. NCBI's taxonomy places the organism in Eukaryota, Metazoa, Chordata, Testudines, Testudinidae.